RNAcentral lists this ribosomal RNA (468 nucleotides) under uncultured bacterium. RNAcentral's name for it is "partial 16S ribosomal RNA". It matches the Rfam family "Bacterial small subunit ribosomal RNA", at positions 29 to 507 of the family's 1533-position model. The record is from RNAcentral.
ACGAACGCUGGCGGCGUGCUUAACACAUGCAAGUCGAACGGAAAGGCCCUGCUUGCAGGGUGCUCGAGUGGCGAACGGGUGCGUAACACGUGGGUGAUCUGCCCCUUACUUUGGGAUAAGCCUGGGAAACUGGGUCUAAUACUGGAUAGGACCAUGCUGUAGGUGGUGUGGUGGAAAGAUUAGUUUCGGUAAGGGAUGAGCUCGCGGCCUAUCAGCUUGUUGGUGGGGUAAUGGCCUACCAAGGCGUCGACGGGUAGCCGGCCUGAGAGGGUGGACGGCCACAUUGGGACUGAGAUACGGCGCAGACUCCUACGGGAGGCAGCAGUGGGGAAUAUUGCACAAUGGGCGCAAGCCUGAUGCAGCGACGCCGCGUGGGGGAUGACGGCCUCCGGGUUGUAAACACCUUUCAGCCAUGACGAAGCCCUUGUGGUGACGGUAGUGGUAGAAGAAGCACCGGCUAACUACGUG